RNAcentral lists this unclassified non-coding RNA (352 nucleotides) under soil metagenome. RNAcentral describes it as "partial contains 5.8S ribosomal RNA, internal transcribed spacer 2, and large subunit ribosomal RNA". The stretch from base 1 to 120 matches the Rfam family "5.8S ribosomal RNA", at positions 35 to 154 of the family's 154-position model. The record is from RNAcentral.
GAUGAAGAACGCAGCGAAAUGCGAUAAGUAAUGUGAAUUGCAGAAUUCAGUGAAUCAUCGAAUCUUUGAACGCACAUUGCGCCCGCCAGUAUUCUGGCGGGCAUGCCUGUUCGAGCGUCAUUACAACCCUCAGGCCCCCGGGCCUGGCGUUGGGGAUCGGCGGAGCCCCCCGUGGGCACACGCCGUCCCCCAAAUGCAGUGGCGGUCCCGCCGCAGCUUCCAUCGCGUAGUAGCUAACACCUCGCGACUGGAGAGCGGCGCGGCCACGCCGUAAAACACCCAACUCUUCUGAAGUUGACCUCGAAUCAGGUAGGAAUACCCGCUGAACUUAAGCAUAUCAAUCAGCGGAGGA